This 2018-nucleotide long non-coding RNA is filed under the name Pan troglodytes (chimpanzee). RNAcentral's name for it is "lincRNA". The record is from RNAcentral. Lineage: Eukaryota; Metazoa; Chordata; Mammalia; Primates; Hominidae.
AUGUGAAGAACAGUGUUUCUCUCCUACAGAGGAUGCAGUGUCCAGGGCAUCAUCUAUGAAUGGAGACAGCCUUUACCGGACACCAAACCUACCAGCACCAUGAUCUUGAACUUUCCAGCCUCCUGAACUAUGGCCUACUGCUCUGUUGCCCAGGUUAGAGUGCAGUGGCUUGAUCAUAGCUCACUGCAGCCUUGAGCUCCUAGGCUCAAGCAGUCCUCUUGCCUCAGCCUCCUGAAUAGCUGGGACUACAGGUUCUAUUCUGAGGUACUAAGGUUAAGACCUCAACAUAUGAAUUCUGGAGGACACAAUUCAACCCAGAAGUCUACCUUGUAUUGGGUCCUCACAGCAAGGCUGCAAAACCCGGGGGGUUGGUGGCCCAGUCCCACCUCCCAUGAGCUAAUGAAUGUGGGGCUCAGGGAGGACUGACAGGACUAGAGUUGACAACCAUUCAUCCAACAAACAUUUACUACAUGAGGAAGAGAGGUGAUCAAGGCACUGCCCUUGUCCCCAGGAAGCUCGCCAGUGCAUGGGACUGCACAGGUGUCUUCACCUCUGCAUUAGGCAUUCGAUUUCAGGCCAUGGCUGAGCAUCCAUCCUCUCUCUGCUAAUUUUUUCCAAAAGUCAAGAGUUUGGAAGAACACUAAUGUGUUUUUCUUCCAGCCUUUCCUAUACAAAUGACAACAUCAUUACCCUCAGCUUUUAAAGUGCAAGUCUGUAUAGAGAUCCCAGAGUCAAGGAGGGCGCCUGAGUCAUUUGAAAUAAUUACCUUUUUUUUUUCCUGCCUGAGUCUUGCAUAUCUGUGAAUCAGCAAUGUGGAAACUGGGCUUCAAAAAAAUUAAGAGAGGCUUAAAGUGAGCAAAGCAGAGAAGAGCAUUGGCAAGAGCUGAGCGCUGCCACAGCAGGAACAUCAUGCCGAUCGUCAUCUAAGGGAGCUCAUGGCGCUGUCUGCCUCCUCUUAGCAACAUCCACACAGGCUGGUACAGUCAGAUCAUUGUGACUUGGACAGGGAUGAAAAUACUCAGCUGACACCAAUAGCUCCCAGCACAGCCAGGGUAUUCUAGAGGUGUGUGGUGUCAGGACAGCCUGUGUAGCCUCAUUUAUUUACCUGAGUCAUCUGAACAAAGCGGUAACUGGCUUUGCCUGGCUCUGGCAAGAACUCGCAACAAAGCCAAAGCCCCUUCCUCCACAGCCUUUGCUCCUGCAGCACAGCACUGGCAUCUUUUUAGCAUCAUAGACACUGUCACGUGGCAAUCAAUGACAGAUUAACUGUCCCUUCCCUGGGCCACAAGCUCUUCAAGGCGGGAGCCUCAGCCCAGUUUCUUCCAUGUCUCCAGUGCCCAGCACAGGGCCUGGCUUCUAGCUGGUUUCUGAUGAAUAAAUGAAUGGCUAUAGAGAUGUACUCUUCAAAACACAAGGGGCUUCUAUAGUGGCAACAUGUUCAGUAGCACAGUGCUGUAUUGGUUCUUUACAGCUUGCAGGACCCAAAGAAGGAAUGAUUUUUGUUUCCCGGGAAAGGUGUACCUCGUGGGGGCACUGCUCAAGGGAAGGUGCCCACAAGUUGGGGAUCAAGGGAGGCACAGGUUGAUCAAGGCCCCUGGAAUUGAAAUGGAGGUGUUCAUCCUGCGGAGGCUCCGAACAUCUGAGGCAGAGCCUCGAUUCUCCAGGAAAUUGACUUUGCCGGAGAACAAGGCUGGGGGAGGCAGGCUGUCCUAGGGGAGGAGUCGUAUUUCAGCCCCACUGAGACCCCAAAGGCGCACUCCCAUGCUUUACCCCAGCUGUCCACGAGGGGGCAGGCAGAGGCAAGAGAAGAGGAAAGCGGGCGGCUGGUCAGGCCCAGCACAUCCAGCCUGACAUCCCACACGCUGGGCCGCCUGACUCAGACAAAGCCAGGCCGCUCCUCCUGCCUGUUGUGGCCUCUGUGAUUUUAUGUGGUUUGGCCUGUGACAUCAGACACCACGCGACCAUGGUAACCAAAGUAUACAGCCUGGAGUGAAUGUUAAUAAACAGGAAAGAAACGA